RNAcentral lists this RNase P RNA (338 nucleotides) under Mesoplasma coleopterae. Its description in RNAcentral is "RNase P RNA component class B". It matches the Rfam family "Bacterial RNase P class B". From Rfam's summary of the family: Ribonuclease P (RNase P) is a ubiquitous endoribonuclease, found in archaea, bacteria and eukarya as well as chloroplasts and mitochondria. Its best characterised activity is the generation of mature 5'-ends of tRNAs by cleaving the 5'-leader elements of precursor-tRNAs. Cellular RNase Ps are ribonucleoproteins. The record is from RNAcentral. Lineage: Bacteria; Bacillati; Mycoplasmatota; Mollicutes; Entomoplasmatales; Entomoplasmataceae.
UUUUAUGGUCAAUCGCUGCAUUUAAAAAAAUGUAGAGGAAACUCCACGCUUGCACAAUCUGAGAUGGUUGUAGUGAUUAUGCUAGACGAAAAAAUAAGUCUAGGCAAUACACAGGUAUUGACGGCAUAACUAACCUAAGGCUUUGUUGCUAUGGUGAUGUUAUGAAGUGCCACAGAGACGAGUAUAGGGAAACCUUGAAAUGGAACGCGGUAAACCCCAUAAGUAAGAAACUUAAAUUUUGGUAAAGGAACUUGGAGAGCAGAAAUGAAUGUGAACCAGGAGGAUUAUAUCCUAGAUAGAUGAUUGACACCGAAAGGUACAAAACGUGGGUUAUAGUA